RNAcentral lists this ribosomal RNA (372 nucleotides) under Rhodosorus marinus. Its description in RNAcentral is "partial Bacterial small subunit ribosomal RNA". It matches the Rfam family "Bacterial small subunit ribosomal RNA", at positions 1137 to 1516 of the family's 1533-position model. Lineage: Eukaryota; Rhodophyta; Stylonematophyceae; Stylonematales; Stylonemataceae. The record is from RNAcentral.
ACUCUAACAAGACUGCCUGCGCAAGCAGAGAGGAAGGAGGGGAUGACGUCAAGUCAUCAUGGCCCUUACGCCCAGGGCUACACACGUGCUACAAUGGCGCAUACAGAGGGUCGCUACCUGGCAACAGGAUGCCAAUCUCAAAAAGUGCGUCUCAGUUCGGAUUGGAGUCUGCAACUCGACUCCAUGAAGUUGGAAUCGCUAGUAAUCGCGCAUCAGCAAUGGCGCGGUGAAUACGUUCCCGGACCUUGUACACACCGCCCGUCAAGCCAUGGGAGUUGGGUGGACCUGAAGAUGGUUGCUGUAAGGCGCUAUUUAGGGUAAAACCAGCGACUGGGGCUAAGUCGUAACAAGGUAGCCGUACCGGAAGGUGUG